This 42-nucleotide small RNA is filed under the name Sinorhizobium meliloti 2011. Its description in RNAcentral is "putative ncRNA". Lineage: Bacteria; Pseudomonadati; Pseudomonadota; Alphaproteobacteria; Hyphomicrobiales; Rhizobiaceae. The record is from RNAcentral.
AGAAGGAGACCCGCUGUUGCGGGUAGCCGCUGUUAUCUUUGU